CCCAACAAGAUGAACUCCCACUAACCAAGGCAGAUCUAUUGACACCUCUGAAUUUCUCCUUUUCAGUAACAGAGACCAAUGUUAAACACCCGUUAUGGCACUAUUCCUCAAGGAAAUUGACUACUUGGUGAGAAAUUACAUUGGGUACCUUCUAUCCCGAAAACAGUGCUACUCAUCCUCAAAGAAAGGAGAAGGAUGUUUGUUUGAUGAACACAGCGACACACAGUGGUGAUACCGUAUGAAAAUGGAAGCAGAGACUGGUGUCAUGCUGCCACAAGAUAUGGAAAAUCAGGAGUCACCAUAAGAUGAAAGAGGCAAAGAAGGAUUCUCCUAUACUUUCAGAGCAAUAACUUGGGUGAGUCACAUAUGACUGCCGUGACCGUUUCCAUCUGUGAUCCUAACUAUGAAUAUCCCUAACUAUGGCAUAAACAAAGGGCAACCCCUACUUCCACCCUCAGGCCAUGGGGCUUGAUGUGGGAACAUGGAAUCACUGGUGAAAGGCAUCCAGAGGAGGUCUCACUCUGUUUCCGGGGAUGGAGGGCAGUGGCACAAACACAACUCACUGCAGCCUCAACCUCCUGACCUCAAACGAUCCUCCCACUUCAGCCUACCAAGUAGCUGGGACUACAGUCAUGAGGCCACAUAUAGGACUGCUUUCCAUCUGGGAUUGUAAAAUUACAAAGUGGGCACUGUUUAUCAACCUUGCUACGUUACACAUCUGAAUCAGCUCUGGAAUAUUAUAAAUACAAAUUGCUGGACCCCAGCCCAAGGGAGCUGGGAAUGGUACUCAAGGCUUUCCUAGCUUUAAGAACUCAUCAGAAGAUUUGCCUGCAUAGCCCAAGAGGAAAAACACUUGCUUAGAGCAUAAAAGUCAUUUUUAAGGUCAACAAAAAGCUUAGUGAAUUAGGAGACACACAUUUUUACAUAAUGUCAUUAUAUGUACACUAUCUUUGGCAUAACUAUGGGCAAACAAAGGCUCUGAAAAUCAGGUUAUCUCCUCCAUUUGACUACAUGUUUGUGGCACUUGAGUUCAGCAUGUCUGAAAUCAAUUGCUCUCUCAUCUUUCACCUCCACUACCGAGUUGGUGCCUCUCACCCAGUAUACUUCACUUCUGGCACACUGUAAUACUCAUUUGGACUCCUAAAAUCUACUCUCUCAUUUAAAUCUAUCCUGAAUUCCAUUACCAAAUUUAUCUACUUAGGGCAAAACCAUGUUGAUCAGCCUUCAGUAGGUCCUCACUGAUCACUGGCCAAAUUUCCCCAGAUCCUCCAACUGUCACUUAAGGACCUUGAAUAUGUGAUACUAGAUAAUCUCUACCAGUUUCUUUUUAAAUUUUCCUUCAUACAUUCAAUAUUUCAGCCAAGCCUCUUGGUGCUCUGUGUACUUAUCCCUAUUUUUCCCCACAUAUGUGCUUUUUAAAAAACUUCUUAACAGAGUGCCUUAUCCAACUUAUACAUAUUCAAAUCCCACCCACCCUCCGAUUUCAACUCAAAUUUUGUUUAUUUUCCUGAGCUUUCCCUGACCCCUCUCCCAUUUAAAAGUCUCUACUUAAUCAAUCCAAUUAUUAUAAUCAUUUGUACUUUUAUGCCCCAUAACUUUUUAUUGUGUUAUCUUAUUAGUUAUAGAAUAUAUAAACCCUUUAA
Pongo pygmaeus (Bornean orangutan) is the source of this 1643-nucleotide long non-coding RNA. RefSeq lists it as uncharacterized. The transcript has 6 exons. NCBI's taxonomy places the organism in Eukaryota, Metazoa, Chordata, Mammalia, Primates, Hominidae. The record is from RefSeq and is a predicted model, not a curated record.